This 253-nucleotide ribosomal RNA is filed under the name uncultured bacterium. RNAcentral describes it as "partial 16S ribosomal RNA". It matches the Rfam family "Bacterial small subunit ribosomal RNA", at positions 524 to 776 of the family's 1533-position model. The record is from RNAcentral.
UACGUAGGUGGCAAGCGUUAUCCGGAUUUAUUGGGCGUAAAGGGAACGCAGGCGGUCUUUUAAGUCUGAUGUGAAAGCCUUCGGCUUAACCGGAGUAGUGCAUUGGAAACUGGGAGACUUGAGUGCAGAAGAGGAGGGUGGAACUCCAUGUGUAGCGGUGAAAUGCGUAGAUAUAUGGGAGAACACCAGUGGCGAAAGCGGCUCUCUGGUCUGUAACUGACGCUGAGGUUCGAAAGCGUGGGUAGCAAACAGG